CGGGGUAUAGCGCAGCUGGCUAGCGCGCAUCGUUCGGGACGAUGAGGUCGUGGGUUCAAAUCCCACUACCCCGA
The sequence is a transfer RNA, 74 nucleotides long. It matches the Rfam family "tRNA". Rfam says of the family: Transfer RNA (tRNA) molecules are approximately 80 nucleotides in length.